RNAcentral lists this ribosomal RNA (526 nucleotides) under uncultured bacterium. Its description in RNAcentral is "bacterial SSU rRNA". It matches the Rfam family "Bacterial small subunit ribosomal RNA", at positions 777 to 1294 of the family's 1533-position model. The record is from RNAcentral.
AAUAGAUACCCAGGUAGUCCUGACAGUAAACGGUGCACGUUUGGUGUGGGAGGAUUCGACCCCUUCUGCGCCGGAGCUAACGCGUUAAACGUGCCGCCUGGGGAGUACGGUCGCAAGAUUAAAACUCAAAGAAAUUGACGGGGGCCCGCACAAGCGGUGGAGUAUGUGGCUCAAUUCGAUGCAACGCGAAGAACCUUACCAGGCCUUGACAUGCAUCUCUAAGUUGGUGAAAGCCAGCGAGUCCCGAAAGGGACAAUGUGCACAGGUGCUGCAUGGCUGUCGUCAGCUCGUGUCGCGAGAUGUUGGGUUAAGUCCCGCAACGAGCGCAACCCCUGUGAACUGUUGCCACCGGAGCGAGAGCUCCGAGCACUCUGUUCAGACUGCCCCGCUCUAACGGGGAGGAAGGUGGGGACGACGUCAAGUCAGUAUGGCCCUUACGGCCUGGGCUGCACACAUACUACAAUGCCCAGUACAGAACGAUCCGAGACCGCGAGGUGGAGGAAAUCACUAAAACUGGGCCCAGUUC